This is a long non-coding RNA of Oryzias latipes (Japanese medaka), 3551 nucleotides long. RefSeq lists it as uncharacterized. The record is from RefSeq and is a predicted model, not a curated record. Lineage: Eukaryota; Metazoa; Chordata; Actinopteri; Beloniformes; Adrianichthyidae.
AAAAAAAUGCCCCAGGAACACCAAACACGAUGUUCAUCGAAAUGGGUCUUUGAAAAUGUUGUGCAUGUCUGAAACCUUUUCUUGAUUUAAAGAAGUGAAUUCACAUGCCUGCCCUUGCUCACACAAAACAGCAAACUCUGCACCCUCUUCCUUCCUCUUUAGCACUCAGUUUCAGUUACACAAUGUGAAGCUGUUUAAAAAACAACUACUGCAUUUUUAAGCGUCUUCAGCGGUUUGAUAGGGGCUUUAGUGGUGGGGCUGCACUUCUGCAUAAAUGAACUUCAGCUAAGGUUCACUUUGUCUGGGAUGAGGGGGCCAGCAAAGUUUUUUUUUAACUCAAGGAGUUUCUCUUUAGCUCCUAUUCUAGUCCAGGCAAACACCAAAACCCUUCAUUGUUGAGGUGGAUGCGUCUGACACUGGAGUAGGGCCUGUAUUUUCAGGGUGUCUGAUAACAAAAUCCAUCCCUUCACAUGUUUCUCCCACAACCUCAGUCCUUCGGAAAGAAAUUACGACUUAGAGAACUGGGAGCUCCUGGCAGUCAAGCAAGCUCUCCAGGAGUGGUGGCAUUGGUUGGAUGGUGUGAAACAGCCGUUCAUGGUGUGGGCCGACCACAAAAAUCUGGAAUACAUCUGUGCUGUCAAGCACGCUGGGCUUUGUUCUUCGACAGGUUUCACUUCACUCUCCUGCCGACCUGGAAGCAAGAACAUGGAGAGUGCCCUUUAUCUUGAGCACCAGAGGGAAGUGGAAAUCGAGGAUUUUGAGGGUGAGGCCACAAUCUUGCCUCACAACAUUGUGCUGUGAAUAACUCGGUGGACUCUUGAGUGUAAGGUUAAAUCUUCCAUCCCUGAUCCGUCUACUAUUCCUGCUCCUCAUGUGCUAAAGUGGGGACACUCUUCUCGUUUGGCUUGUCACCCUGAAUUUACUCGGACUGCCUUUCUAGUGGUGCAACGCUUUUGGUGGCCAACUAUGUCUUCUGACAUACUGGUAAGCGCUUUUGUGUCAUCUUGUUGUGUUUGUGUGGGUGUGUAUGUGCGAGUGUUAAGGUUCCUUGGAACCCCCCCUGCUGGACUCCUGUAGCCUCUACCUGUGCCCUCCAGACCUUGGUCCUAUUUUGCUAUGGACCUUAUAACGGGACUUCCUAGAUCCAAAGGUAAAACUGUUAUUCUGACAAUUUCAAACAUAUUUUCUAAGUUGGUUCAUAUCAUUCCAUUGCCAAAGCUUCCAUCUGCCAAAGAGUUAGCAGUAAUAAACUCCCAGCAUGUGUUUCGUCUACAAAACUUCCCGUAAAGAUCACCUCCGACAGAAGUCUUCAGUUUGUGGCAACUUUUUGGAAGGAGUUCUGCAGACUCCUUGGGAUCAAGGUCAGUUUGAGCUCUGGGUUCCAUCAACAGACUAAUUGCCAGUUAAAGGGCUACAACCAGGAUCUGGGGACUACUCUGCGAGCCAUGUACACAAAGAACCCCAACAGGUGGUCCUCUCAACUGACGUGGGCAGAGUACUCCUAAAAUGCUCUUGUCAACUCAUCAGGCUUCACCCCCUUCCAAACACCCUGGGGUACCAGCCACCCCUCUUCCCCCACCAAGAACAUCUGGCCUCAUCAUCAGGUCCAACAGCUUUUGUUAGCCACUGCCAGCGCACUUGGAGGGUGUUUCGAGAAAGAAUACUGAGGAACCAGGAAAGGCUAACCACCAUGGCUAAUCGCAGACAGGUUGCUGCUCCAGAGUAUAAGGUGGGAGACAGUGUGGCUUUCUUCCACUGUAACACUAAGAGAGGGUUCCAAAAAACAACAUCCUUGCCACAUUGGUCCCUUCUCCAUCACAAAGAUCAUCAACUCUGUGGCAGUUGAGCUGGAUAUCCCUUCCAUCGUCAGGAUCCAUCCAGUUUUCUACAUCAGUAAGUUAAAACCUGGAAGAGACUCUCCUCUCCAACCUCCUUCAAAAUCCCCUCCUGUACCUUGUCUCAUGGAUAGUGGUCCAGUCUUCACCAUUCCUGCCUCCAAGAUGGUUGUUUAAGUUAUCCAGUAUCUGGUCGAAUUGGAGGGUUACGGGCCAGCAGAUUACCAGUGGGCGCUAGAGCGCCACAUCCUCAUCAAGGACCUGAUCACCCGCUUUCAUUGGAACCAUUCUGACCAACCUCAUCGGUCUGGGAGCUGGAAAUAGGGGAGGGGUUAUGUCAUGUUCUGCUUGUUUUGUUUUUCAGUCGUUUUCUUUGGCUUCCUUCUGGCUGUGACUCAUGUGUCCAUUCUCCUGUGGAACCUGUUAAUCAGUCACAGCUGUCUGCAUUUUUGUAAUUAGUCUCAGUGUAUUAAAGGAACUCUGCUGGAGCCUUUAGUGUUGGCUUAUUCUGGCUCCUGACUAGUUUGCUGAGGCCUGAUUAUUCCUUGAAUAUGUAUUUUGUAAAUUAAAAUACCUGGACUUUGCUACUAAUGUGCUUGUGGUGCUUCCUGGAUCUGGGUUUCCUCCUGCUUGCCAAACCAUGACAAAGUGAGGACAGCCCCACCCGUGCAGGUCCCGCAGGUAAAUCAGAGACACCAGGGCACACCCAGGGCAGGAAAGGCCCAGGAUCACCUUACGGCCUAGCUGAAAAGUCCUUCUCAAACAGCAGAAGCAUCGAAGUCCAACUUUGAACAAAGAGCCCUGGGGAGUCAGGGGACCAGACCCCUUUUCAGGGCUUUGUGUCGGCAUGGGGACUUGGACUGCACUCAAGAAGCAGGAUUGGAGAUGCACAGGUGAUCAAGUCAUCAGAUCAAAGGCUCUGGAAACUUCAAAAACAAGAUCAGGAGCUUUAAAGACUCAAUGAAUGAAUCCCUUUGAAAACCCUUUGACAUUCACAGAUAUACAAAAAAAUGGCAUUGCUUUUGGGCAUAGUGCAUAAAUACAUUAAUGUUAUUUGUUGUGUAUUCACUUGUGCUUUCAUUAGCAAGUUUGCGUGUGUUUGCGUAUGAGUGUUUUAUGGAGUUUGGGUGUGCAUACGCGUGUGUCUAAUGAACUAUGCUUGUUUUUUUGUCUGUUUCUGUGCAUGUAUGCAUGUGUUUUAUGGAGUGUGCAUUUUUCUGUGUACCCAUCUGAGUGUUUCUAAAUGCAAUUGUGUGUUUCUGUAUGCCUAUGCAUGUGUGUAUUUUUCAUGGUGUGCUUGUUUCUGUGUUCGUAGUUGUGUGUGCUUUACGGAGUGUGCGCUUUUCUCUGUGCAUAUGCAUGAGAAUUAUAGAAGGGGCAGCUUUCCAUGUGAAUGUGACGUGCACACGCAUGCAUGUUGCGUGCACAUUAACUGGAAAUGGAUUAACGGGGUGGGGUGGGUGGACGGGACUUUUGACAUCGUCUUGUACCUUAUCAGAAAGUAGGUGGAACUUAUAGCACAUGACCAAGGAGACAAGCAUUCCAGUGGUCAAAAUGAAGCAGUUAAGUGGGAUGUGCUUGUCCCUUCUCCAGCACGUCACCUGGAUAUAGAGAGGGUGUAUCAGGAUGUAGGGGGGUAACAAUGAAUGUAUUGUUUUGAUGACUUUGUAGAUUAUGUGUUAAAAAAGUAUGCAAACAAUGCACAGGGGAAGGUGA